UCAGUUCUUCAUGCUACUUUUUGAUGGUUCUCAUGUCAUUGAUGUGGAAUAUCUUCAUGUGGAAUACCGUUUUAGGCAGCAUUCGGCUCCCUUUCAAAAAUUAGGAAUUAAUCGAAGAGCUGGAGUCUAGAGGGAAAAAAAAUUCAGAUUUUGCGACAGCAUUUCGGAGAAGCUGGUGCCCGUUAUCUUAGAUAGUCCCAACAAGGUUUCUCUAAAAGGAUAUUCACCAGAAGAGUGGACCAUAGGUGAGAGUGCUGAACCAUAGAUGGAGAUAGUGCUGAAUUAAAAGGUAUCAACAGACUUGUGCUGCCUACCAAU
Molecule: long non-coding RNA, 318 nt
Organism: Lolium rigidum
Lineage: Eukaryota; Viridiplantae; Streptophyta; Magnoliopsida; Poales; Poaceae
Exons: 3
Source: RefSeq, a predicted model, not a curated record